RNAcentral lists this small RNA (125 nucleotides) under Photobacterium halotolerans. RNAcentral's name for it is "MtlS RNA". It matches the Rfam family "MtlS RNA". Lineage: Bacteria; Pseudomonadati; Pseudomonadota; Gammaproteobacteria; Vibrionales; Vibrionaceae. The record is from Rfam by way of RNAcentral.
UUCCCCGUUUGAUGUUCAGCUUCAAGUUCUGUUGUGUCGAUAACGGUUCGCCAAAACCGUCGAUUGCUUCGUACCCAAUCAAUCUACCACAGAUCCUGAAAACGGAACUGAUAACGGGGUUCUCG